This is a long non-coding RNA of Sinocyclocheilus rhinocerous, 595 nucleotides long. RefSeq lists it as uncharacterized. The transcript is spliced from 3 exons. The record is from RefSeq and is a predicted model, not a curated record. NCBI's taxonomy places the organism in Eukaryota, Metazoa, Chordata, Actinopteri, Cypriniformes, Cyprinidae.
CCCAUGUUUUAAAUAUGAAAUUAUUGUGAUCAAGAAGAGAGACAACCUUUAUGUCAAGCGUUAUGGAAAUGGGAUGCAACAAUCCACGAUUCCCCCCUACAGUCCAGUGGUGGUCUCGUCCAUUGACAGCGGAGCAGAGCUGUGUGUGUGGUGUCAGGUCUCUCGCUCAAUGAUGAGGUUUCAAGUGCGCCUUUGAGAUGUUGGGAGUCUGUAGAAUAUUCUGCAAUUUGUAACUUUUUCGCUUCGCUUUUAUUACAACAACAUUCCAACUUUUAGUCUACAAGAUCGACCGGUACGUGUAAACAUACCUUAUUUAGUUUUUUGUUUGUAUAUGUAAGCUUCUGUUAGUUUUUUCAUGCAGCGAAAAUGUUGAAAGUUUUGUGAGGACACUCCUUCUUCAGGACCCGACGGACCAAGGCUACAGCUGACAAAUUGGGGGACAUAUCAGCUCUGUCAUUUUCUUAGAGCUUGAUCUACACAGCAGGAGUAGGAGGUCGAUUUCCCACUUUUCCAAUCAAGUCUCUCCAUGAUGCCUUGCAAUCAUCUCAGUGGCAUACCUGCCAGCCUGCCGUCAGUGUCAGAACAAUUCGGAACC